Long non-coding RNA from Magnolia sinica, 175 nucleotides. RefSeq lists it as uncharacterized. Lineage: Eukaryota; Viridiplantae; Streptophyta; Magnoliopsida; Magnoliales; Magnoliaceae. The transcript is spliced from 2 exons. The record is from RefSeq and is a predicted model, not a curated record.
GCACCAGAAAUGGAUUUUGGGUUUAUCCAAAUCUCAUCACCUUAUUUAGGUGGAUUUAUGUGGGCCGUACGUUUCAUCAUCCACAUUCCUAACUGGGCCUCCCUGUCUCCUAAAAGUGAAAAACAUGGAAUAUGCUAAGGCGUCCAAUAAAUGUCCACCAAUAGCAUAGUCAUAU